GACGAACGCUGGCGGCGUGCUUAACACAUGCAAGUCGAGCGGUAAGGCCCUUCGGGGUACACGAGCGGCGAACGGGUGAGUAACACGUGGGUAACCUGCCCUGUACUCUGGGAUAAGCCUUGGAAACGAGGUCUAAUACCGGAUAUGACCAUUGAUCGCAUGAUCGGUGGUGGAAAGUUCCGGCGGUAUGGGAUGGACCCGCGGCCUAUCAGCUUGUUGGUGGGGUAAUGGCCUACCAAGGCGACGACGGGUAGCCGGCCUGAGAGGGUGAUCGGCCACACUGGGACUGAGACACGGCCCAGACUCCUACGGGAGGCAGCAGUGGGGAAUAUUGCACAAUGGGCGAAAGCCUGAUGCAGCGACGCCGCGUGAGGGAUGACGGCCUCGG
Molecule: ribosomal RNA, 388 nt
Filed under: uncultured bacterium
Lineage: Bacteria
Description: bacterial SSU rRNA
Rfam family: Bacterial small subunit ribosomal RNA
Source: RNAcentral